This 2766-nucleotide ribosomal RNA is filed under the name Enterobacter cloacae. RNAcentral's name for it is "bacterial LSU rRNA". It matches the Rfam family "Bacterial large subunit ribosomal RNA". RNAcentral also lists the same sequence under 1 other name. Lineage: Bacteria; Pseudomonadati; Pseudomonadota; Gammaproteobacteria; Enterobacterales; Enterobacteriaceae. The record is from RNAcentral.
CGUUGCACUAUCGUUAACUGAAUACAUAGGUUAACGAGGCGAACCGGGGGAACUGAAACAUCUAAGUACCCCGAGGAAAAGAAAUCAACCGAGAUUCCCCCAGUAGCGGCGAGCGAACGGGGAGCAGCCCGGAGUCUGAAUCAGCUUGUGUGUUAGUGGAACGGUCUGGAAAGUCCGACGGUACAGGGUGAUAGUCCCGUACACGAAAGCACACUUGCUGUGAACUCGAAGAGUAGGGCGGGACACGUGGUAUCCUGUCUGAAUAUGGGGGGACCAUCCUCCAAGGCUAAAUACUCCUGACUGACCGAUAGUGAACCAGUACCGUGAGGGAAAGGCGAAAAGAACCCCGGCGAGGGGAGUGAAAAAGAACCUGAAACCGUGUACGUACAAGCAGUGGGAGCCUCUUUAUGGGGUGACUGCGUACCUUUUGUAUAAUGGGUCAGCGACUUAUAUUCUGUAGCAAGGUUAACCGUAUAGGGGAGCCGAAGGGAAACCGAGUCUUAACUGGGCGUUAAGUUGCAGGGUAUAGACCCGAAACCCGGUGAUCUAGCCAUGGGCAGGUUGAAGGUUGGGUAACACUAACUGGAGGACCGAACCGACUAAUGUUGAAAAAUUAGCGGAUGACCUGUGGCUGGGGGUGAAAGGCCAAUCAAACCGGGAGAUAGCUGGUUCUCCCCGAAAGCUAUUUAGGUAGCGCCUCGUGAACUCAUCUUCGGGGGUAGAGCACUGUUUCGGCUAGGGGGCCAUCCCGGCUUACCAACCCGAUGCAAACUACGAAUACCGAAGAAUGUUAUCACGGGAGACACACGGCGGGUGCUAACGUCCGUCGUGAAGAGGGAAACAACCCAGACCGCCAGCUAAGGUCCCAAAGUCAUGGUUAAGUGGGAAACGAUGUGGGAAGGCACAGACAGCCAGGAUGUUGGCUUAGAAGCAGCCAUCAUUUAAAGAAAGCGUAAUAGCUCACUGGUCGAGUCGGCCUGCGCGGAAGAUGUAACGGGGCUAAACCAUGCACCGAAGCUGCGGCAGCGACACUAUGUGUUGUUGGGUAGGGGAGCGUUCUGUAAGCCGUUGAAGGUGUGCUGUGAGGCAUGCUGGAGGUAUCAGAAGUGCGAAUGCUGACAUAAGUAACGAUAAAGCGGGUGAAAAGCCCGCUCGCCGGAAGACCAAGGGUUCCUGUCCAACGUUAAUCGGGGCAGGGUGAGUCGACCCCUAAGGCGAGGCCGAAAGGCGUAGUCGAUGGGAAACAGGUUAAUAUUCCUGUACUUGGUGUUACUGCGAAGGGGGGACGGAGAAGGCUAUGUCAGCCGGGCGACGGUUGUCCCGGUUUAAGCAUGUAGGCGGAGGUUCCAGGUAAAUCCGGUACCUUUUAACGCUGAGGUGUGAUGACGAGGCACUACGGUGCUGAAGUGAUAAAUGCCCUGCUUCCAGGAAAAGCCUCUAAGCAUCAGGUAACACGAAAUCGUACCCCAAACCGACACAGGUGGUCAGGUAGAGAAUACCAAGGCGCUUGAGAGAACUCGGGUGAAGGAACUAGGCAAAAUGGUGCCGUAACUUCGGGAGAAGGCACGCUGAUGUGUAGGUGAAGCCCCUGCGGGCGGAGCUGAAAUCAGUCGAAGAUACCAGCUGGCUGCAACUGUUUAUUAAAAACACAGCACUGUGCAAACACGAAAGUGGACGUAUACGGUGUGACGCCUGCCCGGUGCCGGAAGGUUAAUUGAUGGGGUUAGCGGCAACGCGAAGCUCUUGAUCGAAGCCCCGGUAAACGGCGGCCGUAACUAUAACGGUCCUAAGGUAGCGAAAUUCCUUGUCGGGUAAGUUCCGACCUGCACGAAUGGCGUAAUGAUGGCCAGGCUGUCUCCACCCGAGACUCAGUGAAAUUGAACUCGCUGUGAAGAUGCAGUGUACCCGCGGCAAGACGGAAAGACCCCGUGAACCUUUACUAUAGCUUGACACUGAACACUGGUCCUUGAUGUGUAGGAUAGGUGGGAGGCUUUGAAGCGUGGACGCCAGUCUGCGUGGAGCCAACCUUGAAAUACCACCCUUUAAUGGCUGGUGUUCUAACGUAGACCCGUAAUCCGGGUUGCGGACAGUGUCUGGUGGGUAGUUUGACUGGGGCGGUCUCCUCCCAAAGAGUAACGGAGGAGCACGAAGGUUGGCUAAUCCUGGUCGGACAUCAGGAGGUUAGUGCAAUGGCAUAAGCCAGCUUGACUGCGAGCGUGACGGCGCGAGCAGGUGCGAAAGCAGGUCAUAGUGAUCCGGUGGUUCUGAAUGGAAGGGCCAUCGCUCAACGGAUAAAAGGUACUCCGGGGAUAACAGGCUGAUACCGCCCAAGAGUUCAUAUCGACGGCGGUGUUUGGCACCUCGAUGUCGGCUCAUCACAUCCUGGGGCUGAAGUAGGUCCCAAGGGUAUGGCUGUUCGCCAUUUAAAGUGGUACGCGAGCUGGGUUUAGAACGUCGUGAGACAGUUCGGUCCCUAUCUGCCGUGGGCGCUGGAGAAUUGAGGGGGGCUGCUCCUAGUACGAGAGGACCGGAGUGGACGCAUCACUGGUGUUCGGGUUGUCAUGCCAAUGGCACUGCCCGGUAGCUAAAUGCGGAAGAGAUAAGUGCUGAAAGCAUCUAAGCACGAAACUUGCCCCGAGAUGAGUUCUCCCUGAGACUUUAAGUCUCCUGAAGGAACGUUGAAGACGACGACGUUGAUAGGUCGGGUGUGUAAGCGCAGCGAUGCGUUGAGCUAACCGAUACUAAUGAACCGUGAGGCUUAACCUU